GUCUGCUAAUCUUAGCUGUACUCUAGCCUUUCUCUCCUCCUACUGGGUUGCAAGUCUAGCGUGCUUGCAGAAUGGAUAGAAAGGAUAGGAAAGUACAGAAGAAGAAUAUAGUGUGAAAAAGAAAUCCUAAGGUAGUAAAAAGGAGUGAUCUCUUGGUGGCCAGGGACAGGUGUUUGUCAGUCAUCUCCGUAAGCCUUAGUGGUC
Molecule: long non-coding RNA, 204 nt
Filed under: Pelobates cultripes (western spadefoot toad)
Lineage: Eukaryota; Metazoa; Chordata; Amphibia; Anura; Pelobatidae
Source: RNAcentral